GCUCUCGUAGCUCAAUUGAUUAGAGCGCACGCUUAGCAAGCGGAGGUCUUGAGUUCAAUUCUCAAUGAGAGCA
Nicotiana tabacum (common tobacco) is the source of this 73-nucleotide non-coding RNA. NCBI's taxonomy places the organism in Eukaryota, Viridiplantae, Streptophyta, Magnoliopsida, Solanales, Solanaceae. The record is from the annotation of a RefSeq genome assembly.